This 84-nucleotide ribosomal RNA is filed under the name Mus pahari (shrew mouse). RNAcentral describes it as "rRNA (MGP_PahariEiJ_G0032764.1)". Lineage: Eukaryota; Metazoa; Chordata; Mammalia; Rodentia; Muridae. The record is from RNAcentral.
UACUACUACAACAUCACCCUCAAUAUAUCCAAUCUCAUUUGAUCUUAACAUAUAAGCAGGGUCGAUUCUGGUUAGUAUUUGGAU